GUUUGGUCUUAGCUGAUAUCUAUUUAGUUCAAAUGUAAAACUUGUAAUAAUGUCUUUAAUAACGAAAAUAUUUCCCCGAGAAGAAUCAUUCUUUAUGUUUUGGCAUAUCCCUUCUCUCCAGAAACCAGAUGUAAACACUGCAGUCCCUUUGUUCAUGGCUGGAUUUGUUUUGAAUUGUAAAUAUUCCACAAUAGUAGGAGUAAAGAUAUCCUGAUAAUUGUCAGAAAA
Molecule: long non-coding RNA, 228 nt
Filed under: Mytilus galloprovincialis (Mediterranean mussel)
Lineage: Eukaryota; Metazoa; Mollusca; Bivalvia; Mytilida; Mytilidae
Source: RNAcentral